Long non-coding RNA from Ostrinia nubilalis (European corn borer), 790 nucleotides. RefSeq lists it as uncharacterized. The record is from RefSeq and is a predicted model, not a curated record. NCBI's taxonomy places the organism in Eukaryota, Metazoa, Arthropoda, Insecta, Lepidoptera, Crambidae. The transcript is spliced from 2 exons.
CAUGGCGCACAAUUUUUGUUGAAGAUGCCAAAAAAAACUACAAAAGAUUAGAAUGAAUACUGUAUUUUUACUUUUUUGAUAUCUUUAAAAAUGACUGAAAUAUUCAAGCUCAAAGUGCGCUCUUCCGCUAGGAGCGAUUUUCCGCGCGGAUUUAGAAAAUGUGACGUAGUAACAUGAAAAGCUGCAUGUAAGAUAUUAUCUGUGUACAAUGGUUAGAAUGGUUAGUAGGGGAGCCGAAGUGGGGAUUUCGGGACUUACUAAAGAGUGGCAGACUAACUUACAAGGAAAUACUUUGUACCUGGUUGAUUACCUCUAAGUAUGAAUUUUUGAUAUAAAACGGCAUUAGUUCUUAUGCCUCUCACCCAAAAAAUACCUCAAUUAAGCCCAAAUUUGAGACCGCAGCCAAACUUUGAGUGACGAUGGAAACUAGCCUAGAUGGAGGUCACAUGAAAUUGAACUUCUGCUUCUUCAUUGAUAAAGACUUAUCAUUUACCAUACCUUAUCAUUUUGUAUUCCAUUUUCAAGUCACUUUUUUUUCGCUUACUGUUUAAACAAAACGUGGGAUUUUUUUAAAUCUCAGGUCUUUUGAACGCACAUCUGAACGAUGUCUGGUUUUAAUUUCUUCAGUUACUCCGUGACCAUGGCGCUUGCAACAGUGCCGAAAUAUUGGAAACUCAAAACUAAGCACAACGAAAAUCUGCUUUGGCGCGUAGCAAUGCAACGUGACAACUACAGUUCGGACUUCUUUAUGCGUCCACUACACAUAAAAUAAAAUUCGAACUAUCGCACA